GAUGAACGCUGGCGGCGUGCCUAAUACAUGCAAGUCGAGCGGAAGGACGAGAAGCUUUUUUCCCUGAUGUUAGCGGCGGACGGGUGAGUAACGCGUGGAUCACAUUCUUAUAAGACUGGGAUAACUACGGGAAACCGCAGCUACUAAUGGAUGAUAUUUUCAACCGCAGGGUUCAAAAGUUCAUGACGGUCUUGCCGUCACAAAUAGCUGGUUUCGCGCUGCCUUAGCUAGUUGGUAAGGUAGCGGCACACCAAGGCAACGAUGCCUAGCCGACCUGAGAGGAUGAUCGGCCACACUGGAACUGAGACACGGUCCAGACUCCUACGGGAGGCAGCAGUAGGGAAUCUUCCGCAAUGGGCGAAAGCCUGACGCAGCAACACCGCGUGAGUGAUGAAGGUCUUCGGGUCGUAAAGCUCUGUUAUUAGGAAAGAACAGAUGCGUAAGGAACCGUGCACAUCUUGACGGUACCUAAUCAGAAAGCCACGGCUAACUUCGUG
This 497-nucleotide ribosomal RNA is filed under the name uncultured bacterium. RNAcentral's name for it is "partial 16S ribosomal RNA". It matches the Rfam family "Bacterial small subunit ribosomal RNA", at positions 28 to 507 of the family's 1533-position model. The record is from RNAcentral.